Unclassified non-coding RNA from Callithrix jacchus (white-tufted-ear marmoset), 305 nucleotides. It matches the Rfam family "Metazoan signal recognition particle RNA". Rfam says of the family: The signal recognition particle (SRP) is a universally conserved ribonucleoprotein. It is involved in the co-translational targeting of proteins to membranes. The record is from Ensembl. NCBI's taxonomy places the organism in Eukaryota, Metazoa, Chordata, Mammalia, Primates, Cebidae.
GCUGGGCGUGGUAGCACGUGCCUGUAGUCACAGCUACUCGGGAGGCUGAGGUGGGAGGAAGGAUCGCUUGAGCCCAGGAGUUCUGGGCUGUAGUGCUCUAUGCCGAUCGGGUGUCCGCACUAAGUUUGGCAUCAAUAUGGUGACCUCCCGGAAGCGGGGGCACCACCAGGUUGCCUAAGGAGGGGUGAACUGGCCAAGGUCGGAAACGGAGCAGGUCAAAACUCCCAUGCUGAUCAGUAGUGGGAUCACGCCUGUGAAUAGCCACUGCACUCCAGCCUGGGCAACAUAGUGAGACCCCAUCUCUA